AACCUUCUUCUGUUCCAAGCAUUGUGUGAGACCCUGCCUUGGAUAAGUCAAAUGCAUGAGCUUAGGAAAGUUUUUGAGAAAUAGAGUAACUGCUACAAAUAAUAAAAAACAGAUACAUCUGCAGCCAAGACAGUCACCACCGAAGAGUAUCUGGUGAACCCUGUGGGCAUGAACCGCUACGGUGUGGACACCUCCGCCUCCACCUUUAACCACAGGGGCUCCUUGCCCCCCUCCUCCUCGCUGUACUGCAAGAGGCAGAACUCUGGAGACAGCCACCUUGGGAGUGGUCCUGCUGCCACUGCUGGUGGUCCCCGCACCAGCCCCAUGUCUUCUGGUGGCCCCUCGGCACCUGGGCUGAGGCCCCCAGCCUCCAGCCCCAAGAGAAAUGCGACCUCUCUUGAAGGAAACA
RNAcentral lists this small RNA (409 nucleotides) under Pongo abelii (Sumatran orangutan). RNAcentral describes it as "processed transcript". Lineage: Eukaryota; Metazoa; Chordata; Mammalia; Primates; Hominidae. The record is from RNAcentral.